This 499-nucleotide ribosomal RNA is filed under the name uncultured bacterium. Its description in RNAcentral is "partial 16S ribosomal RNA". It matches the Rfam family "Bacterial small subunit ribosomal RNA", at positions 28 to 507 of the family's 1533-position model. The record is from RNAcentral.
GACGAACGCUGGCGGCGUGCCUAAUACAUGCAAGUCGAGCGAAGUUUUUCUGGUGCUUGCACCGGAAAAACUUAGCGGCGAACGGGUGAGUAACACGUAAAGAACCUGCCUCAUAGACUGGGACAACUAUUGGAAACGAUAGCUAAUACCGGAUAAUAGCAUUAACUGCAUGGUUGAUGUUUAAAAGUUGGUUUUGCUAACACUAUGAGAUGGCUUUGCGGUGCAUUAGCUAGUUGGUGGGGUAAAGGCCUACCAAGGCGACGAUGCAUAGCCGACCUGAGAGGGUGAUCGGCCACACUGGGACUGAGACACGGCCCAGACUCCUACGGGAGGCGGCAGUAGGGAAUCUUCCGCAAUGGGCGAAAGCCUGACGGAGCAACGCCGCGUGAGUGAAGAAGGAUUUCGGUUCGUAAAGCUCUGUUAUUAGGGAAGAAUGAUUGUGUAGUAACUAUACACAGUAGAGACGGUACCUAACCAGAAAGCCACGGCUAACUACGUG